UCAUGGGUACCCACCCGGUGGCCAGGGGGGAUACCCUCCGGCAGGGUACCCGCCGCAGCAGGGAGGUUACCCUCCACAGCAAGGAGGUUACCCUCCACAGCAAGGAUACCCGCCUGCACCUGGAGCUUACCCACCUGCACCUGGGGCAUACCCUCCUGCACCUGGGGCGUACCCUCCUGCACCUGGAGCGGGAGGCCCUGACGGGGAGAAGGGGCUCCUCUCCAACAUCAUGCAUGGUGUUGCCGGUGCUCAUGGUGGUGGUCAUGGCUACCCAUCUGGUGGCCACGGGUACCCCCCGCAGCAGCAUGGAUACCCUCAGCAAGGCUACCCUCCUCAGCAUGGCUACCCACCGCAGCAGCAUGGCUACCCUCCACAGCAGCAUGGCUACCCCCCUGCUGGCUACCCUGGCUCAUCUGGUAUAUACCACUCCCUUGUUUUCCAGUCAUUGAUAUUGAUAAGGAUCUGUGCAAAGCCAUCAUAGCACCCUUUCUGUUAGCAACAUUUACAUUUCCACGAUUGAUAUGCAUUUAUAUGUGUACUAUGUGUUGGAUUGAUAUGCAUUUAGAUGUGUAGUAUGCGCUGCAUCUUCAACAGCCUGCAAUUUCAGUCUAGUAUAUGAGUGGUGGUUUAUCUUGAUGUUAACGAGCCCCAAGUUCGGUUGUAUCGAACUUGUGUCAUUCUUCAGCAUCCAUCCUCAUCGGAUAUUGUUUUU
This 712-nucleotide long non-coding RNA is filed under the name Triticum aestivum (bread wheat). RNAcentral's name for it is "long non-coding RNA (TAES_LNC000653)". The record is from RNAcentral. Lineage: Eukaryota; Viridiplantae; Streptophyta; Magnoliopsida; Poales; Poaceae.